UAUGGUCAAGCACAUACUAACAUCCAUAAAACUCAUUACAUAACUAUACUGUACUUUUACAUUACAAUUUUGAUCAUGUCCAUUACUAGCUAUUACAAAGGCAUAACUUCUUUACUCUAUCCGGACUCCCGCACUAUACUGUACCUGCAAGCCUGGGGGUAAAGGGAGAGGGGUGAGCUAAAAUAAAAGCCCAGUGAGUAGAGCUAGUAAAACACAUUAACACUAUGCUCAAAUGGAAUGCAUCAUAACACAGACAAUUCACAUAAGGGUUGGGUGAACUUGUCACCAAAUAGUCCAAGUUAACUCUGUGCCAGGCCGUAGCAUGGGGUCCUGGUCUUCCUGUCAUACAUACAUUACUUACCAUUUUCCCAGGGCCUCCUCUGGGCUCCUGGUCUUCGAGUCCCAUAAUCGUACCUUACUCUGUGCCAGGCCUGUAGAAUGGGGCCUGGUCUUUCUUACUCUGUGCCAGGCCGUAGCAUGGGGUCCUGAUCUUCCUGUCUUGGACUAAUUGGGUCAUCCAACAUUCACCCACAUCAACAACAAUUUAUGCAAUGCGGCAUAUUCGUGAAAACUAAUGCAAUCAUCCUAUUGCAUAAUCAUGAUGCAUGAAACAUGAUAAAACAUUUAAUUUAAAAGAUUUAGUUUAGUUCCACUCACCUCUGGCUGACUCUGACAACACCGCAGCUGAACUCACUGCUGGGGUCCUCGGUUCCUCGGGUCCGAACCUACACAGGUGGACUCAAAUGAGGGACCAAACAUACUUGAACACAACUC
RNAcentral lists this long non-coding RNA (774 nucleotides) under Manihot esculenta (cassava). RNAcentral describes it as "long non-coding RNA (MESC_LNC007440)". The record is from RNAcentral. Lineage: Eukaryota; Viridiplantae; Streptophyta; Magnoliopsida; Malpighiales; Euphorbiaceae.